GACGAACGCUGGCGGCGUGCCUAAUACAUGCAAGUCGAGCGAAUGGAUGGGAGCUUGCUCCCGGAAGUUAGCGGCGGACGGGUGAGUAACACGUGGGCAACCUACCUGUAAGACUGGGAUAACUUCGGGAAACCGGAGCUAAUACCGGAUAACUUCUUUCUUCUCCUGGAGAAAGGUUGAAAGACGGCUUCGGCUGUCACUUACAGAUGGGCCCGCGGCGCAUUAGCUAGUUGGUGAGGUAACGGCUCACCAAGGCAACGAUGCGUAGCCGACCUGAGAGGGUGAUCGGCCACACUGGGACUGAGACACGGCCCAGACUCCUACGGGAGGCAGCAGUAGGGAAUCUUCCGCAAUGGACGAAAGUCUGACGGAGCAACGCCGCGUGAGUGAUGAAGGUUUUCGGAUCGUAAAACUCUGUUAUCAGGGAAGAACAAGUAUCGGAGUAACUGCCGGUACCUUGACGGUACCUGACCAGAAAGCCACGGCUAACUACGUGC
RNAcentral lists this ribosomal RNA (497 nucleotides) under uncultured bacterium. RNAcentral describes it as "bacterial SSU rRNA". It matches the Rfam family "Bacterial small subunit ribosomal RNA", at positions 28 to 508 of the family's 1533-position model. The record is from RNAcentral.